Brassica napus (rape) is the source of this 413-nucleotide long non-coding RNA. RefSeq lists it as uncharacterized. Lineage: Eukaryota; Viridiplantae; Streptophyta; Magnoliopsida; Brassicales; Brassicaceae. The transcript is spliced from 2 exons. The record is from RefSeq and is a predicted model, not a curated record.
AGUAGGAAGCAUAUAAGAGAAGUGUAGAACAGUUGGUGAAGCAAUAGAAUGGGUUUAGGUCUACAAGAGGAGGAGAUUCGCAUAUGGGCUGCUCGGGUUGUAAAAUUUCCAGUGGAGGAGGAAUGUGAGGUUUUGGAUACAUGAGCAACACAGAGGAAUUGGUUAUAGCUUGGAGACUUGACAUAUAUAUAUAUAUAUAUAUCUACAUUUAUAGACAUGUGAAUAUUGUGGAGUGACUUUUCUACAGAAAUUUAUUAGAUUCCUAUAAUUUUCACAUUGAGCUUCUGUGCUUUUUGUUUAGUCUUUGUCCCAAUUAGUAAUUUGUUAUCGGUCCUUUUUUUCUUUGCUGUAAAGUGACAAAGACAAUAUGGAACCAAAACAAGAAAGAAAGAGAUUCGUGUCCCUUUUAAAUA